Bactrocera neohumeralis is the source of this 1231-nucleotide long non-coding RNA. RefSeq lists it as uncharacterized. Lineage: Eukaryota; Metazoa; Arthropoda; Insecta; Diptera; Tephritidae. The record is from RefSeq and is a predicted model, not a curated record. The transcript is spliced from 3 exons.
CAACCAAUAGUUUUAAUAUUUAGCCAUUGAGUUAUUUACUUUAAACUUUUAUAGUUUAUGAAUCGAAGUAUCUAGUUAUUUGGUGUAUGUUCGAAAAUUCAAGCGCUUAGUGCAAUAAUUUUCGAUCUUUACAUUUGCGCAAAUGCACUCAUAUGGGCUGUGUGUUUGUAUAUUUCUGUAUGCGGGAAAUAUUAAUGUCGAAGCCGGCUCACACCAUUAUGUGUUUCUCUCGUUCACAAAGAGACAGCUGUGUAAUACAAAAAAAACUACUAAAACUGUAAAUUGUGAUGGCCGCCGACAGUCAACUUUCUUUUCUAAUUGAAUCUGCAAAAAGUGUGUGAUUUUGCAUUGUUAUAAAUAACUUUCAGUGAAAAGUUGUAUUAAAAUGAAAGUGAAAUCGUUUUUAAUUCAAAAACUACACUGCAUACAAAAGUUUUCGUGUUUAUGGCACAACUCCUCGAGUGAAACAUGUUCAGGCGUGCUAACAAUGAACAGUUAACGUGGGAGUUACUGGUAAUGUAAAGACGACAAGGGCGUUGGCGAGGUCAUUGUCUACUACCUCUACGGUGUCUCCAGCCUGACUCAUGCUACUACAUACAAAAUGUACCUAUGUAUGUAUUUAUGUAUAUGUAUGUAUGUAUACACAUUCGUACCAAUGUACAUAUGCAUGUAUGUACAUACAUAUGUAUGUAAUAAAUCGGAAGUGCCGCACAAUUGGAACCUAAAAUAUAUUCCGUUUCCGAACAUGCAGGUGGCUAGACUAUCAUAAUCGUUUGCAAUAUCUUGCGGCAGUUUCAUAAUAAAGAUUGGAAAAUUGAAAAUUGGUUUCUUCAGCAAAUAAUCUAUAGAUAUACGUAUGUUUUCGGUUUUCGCCAUUUUGUGGGCGUGGCAGUGGGUCGAUUUUGCCCAUCUUCGAACUUAACCUCCUUAUGGAGCCAAUAAAUACGUGUACCAAGUUUCAUCACGAUAUCUCAAUUUUUACUCAAGUUACAGCUUGCACGGACGGACGGACGGACAGACAGACAUCCGGAUUUCAACUCUACUCGUCACCCUGAUCACUUUGGUAUAUAUAAUCCUAUAUCUGACUCUUUUAGUUUUAGGACUUACAAACAACCGUUAUGUGAACAAAACUAAUACUCUCCUUAGCAACAUUGUUGCGAGAGUAUAGAAAUUUCCAACGAAACAGCAAAAUGUCUUUCAUACGUUUUUCUUAGAUAAGUGUAUGUAUUUA